ACGUGUAUAUACUCACGUAUUAAACUAAACGCGAAUUUGUUGUUAAGCCUGUUGCUGGAAGCGAGCUGUACCAUGCGGGAAUGGUGUGACCCUCGGGUCUAACUCAUGGUCUUAUCGUACUCGAUACGAGGUUCAUUCCAGUAGCAGUAGAUGAAUUUCGGCUGCGUAUUAAGCCUGCACCUUGGCUUGCAGUCCGGGGUGAAAUUAUUACCUACCCACUUAUUUAUACUUAUUCUGAUUUUGUACGUUUAUACGAAUUCCUGACUCUAAUCGGUCGGUUGAGUUUGUAUCGAUGUCGUAUAUUACUAAUACGAAACAACUCUUAGCAACGGAUAUCUUGGUUCU
This 345-nucleotide unclassified non-coding RNA is filed under the name rhizosphere metagenome. RNAcentral describes it as "partial ribosomal RNA internal transcribed spacer region". The record is from RNAcentral.